RNAcentral lists this transfer RNA (74 nucleotides) under Methanomicrobiales archaeon. RNAcentral describes it as "tRNA-Thr". It matches the Rfam family "tRNA". From Rfam's summary of the family: Transfer RNA (tRNA) molecules are approximately 80 nucleotides in length. RNAcentral also lists the same sequence under 1 other name. The record is from RNAcentral. Lineage: Archaea; Methanobacteriati; Methanobacteriota; Methanomicrobia; Methanomicrobiales.
GCCCCAGUGGCUUAGCCUGGCAGAGCGGCUGACUUGUAAUCAGCAGGCCCCGAGUUCAACUCUCGGCUGGGGCU